UCUUGGUCAUUUAGAGGAAGUAAAAGUCGUAACAAGGUUUCCGUAGGUGAACCUGCGGAAGGAUCAUUAAAAAAGAUACGAGGUUGUCCCUCGGCAUGAGUACGCCCCCCACUGGCCCCGGCUUCAUGCUGGCCGACUGUGGGGGAUACACAUCCACCCUGUGUGAAACACCUGUUGCUUUGGCAGCUCUUCUCGCGAAGGUCAGUCUGUCAAAAGCUCAAAAGAAACUCUUUGUUUAUAAACAUGGUCGUAAAAGAAAUGAAAAUUCUUUAAAACUUUCAACAACGGAUCUCUUGGUUCUCGCAUCGAUGAAGAACGCAGCGAAACGCGAUAGGUAAUGUGAAUUGCAGAAUUCAGUGAAUCAUCGAAUCUUUGAACGCACAUUGCGCCUUUUGGUAUUCCGAGAGGCAUGUCUGUUUGAGCGUCAUUACAAACCCUCAAGCUUAGCUUGGUGUUGAGCCCCUCUUUCCGGCUCUAAUGUGGUACGCUUGCGGGCUCUCCCAUGAUUACAACGUAGUAAAACUUCUUUCGUUGUGUUGGAAGGGGAGCCUCGCCUGAAAUCAAAUCUCAGAGUUUGACCUCAGAUCAGACAAGGAUACCCGCUGAACUUAAGCAUAUCAAUAAGCGGAGGAAAAGAAACCAACAGGGAUUGCCUUAGUAACGGCGAGUGAAGCGGCAACAGCUCAAAUUUGAAAUCUGAUGUCUUUUGACGUUCGAGUUGUAAUUUGAAGAGGAAUCUUCGGUUUGGACCACGGCCCAUGUCCCUUGGAACAGGGCGUCGUAGAGGGUGAGAAUCCCGUCGUCGGCUGAUGGUCUCUUUCCAUGUGAAGUUCCUUCGAAGAGUCGAGUUGUUUGGGAAUGCAGCUCUAAACGGGAGGUAAAUUUCUUCUAAAGCUAAAUAUUGGCGAGAGACCGAUAGCGCACAAGUAGAGUGAUCGAAAGAUGAAAAGCACUUUGAAAAGAGAGUUAAACAGUACGUGAAAUUGUUGAAAGGGAAGCGCUUGCAAUCAGACUCGUCUCCGGUGGAUCAACGUUCCUUCUGGUUCGUGCACUCCGCCUCUGACGGGCCAGCAUCGGUUGCGGCGGCGGGACAAAGACCUUGGGAAUGUGGCUCUCUUCGGGGAGUGUUAUAGCCCUCGGUGCAAUGCCGCCUGCCGCGAUCGAGGACCGCGCUUCGGCUAGGAUGCUGGCGUAAUGGUUGUAAGCGACCCGUCUUGAAACACGGACCAAGGAGUCUAACAUCUAUGCGAGUGUUUGGGUGUCAAACCCAUACGCGUAAUGAAAGUGAACGGAGGUGGGAGCCGCAAGGUGCACCAUCGACCGAUCCUGAUGUUCUCGGAUGGAUUUGAGUAGGAGCAUAGCUGUUGGGACCCGAAAGAUGGUGAACUAUGCCUGAAUAGGGUGAAGCCAGAGGAAACUCUGGUGGAGGCUCGCAGCGGUUCUGACGUGCAAAUCGAUCGUCAAAUUUGGGUAUAGGGGCGAAAGACUAAUCGAACCAUCUAGUABCUGGUUCCUGCCGAAGUUUCCCUCAGGAA
RNAcentral lists this ribosomal RNA (1535 nucleotides) under Lilapila oculispora. RNAcentral describes it as "eukaryotic LSU rRNA". The record is from RNAcentral. Lineage: Eukaryota; Fungi; Ascomycota; Orbiliomycetes; Orbiliales; Orbiliaceae.